This 180-nucleotide unclassified non-coding RNA is filed under the name uncultured Penicillium. Its description in RNAcentral is "sequence contains ITS1". Lineage: Eukaryota; Fungi; Ascomycota; Eurotiomycetes; Eurotiales; Aspergillaceae. The record is from RNAcentral.
CCGAGUGAGGGCCCUCUGGGUCCAACCUCCCACCCGUGUUUACCGUACCCUGUUGCUUCGGCGGGCCCGCCCUCAGCGGCCGCCGGGAUGGCCCCUUGCGCCUCCGGGCCCGCGCCCGCCGAAGACACCAUUGAACGCUGUCUGAAGAUUGCAGUCUGAGCAUCUUAGCUAAAUCAGUUA